UUCAUCCACAUCUGCUGGAGUCUCAGCUGGCCUGGCAGAGGCUCGGCUUUAACUGGAUUAACAACAAAAGCCGAGCUCAAUAACUAAUAGGCCUCUUCUUCCUCCUCUCUCAUUACUCGGUUCCCCUCGUUCCCCUCUCCUUCUCCUUCUCCUUCCAUCUCGCCGUCUUUCCUUCUCCUUCAGAGCAAAGCAGAGAGAUAAUGCGGAACACUUUUAUGCCUUCUGCUGAAUUAAACAUGCAGGGAACAGCUUGUGCUGGGUGCUAAAGCUGAGGCGAAGAGAGGGAAUAUGAAGGGAAAAAAGCCGGAUAUAUACAAUUCCGUCCCUGCAUGGAGAUCUCUGGAGUGCUGCUGAACAUUUCUUUACAAUUAGAAAGAUCUGUCGCAGAUAGGAGAGCCCAACAGGACGGCCCUUUUCCCCGCUAAUUGGUCGGGUUGGAAAGGACUGUCGGUUGGUGUUGGGCGGAAGCGGCCGAUAGCCAAGCGGAGCGGUGGCGAAAAACACUCCUCAGAGGCUUCCUGCCCACCUCCAGCUUUCAUUGUCAGAGCUGCAAAUCCCGUCUUGCCAAUCUCUUAUUCCCUUCACACGCCGUCAUCUCUUUUUUUUUGUGCCGCCGCCAACCAAUUGGGCUCGGCGAGUAACAAAUGUGCCCGUCGUCUAACUCCAAGGCUCGCCGGUGAAUAAUUGACAGCAUUUCAAACGUUCCCGGUCUCAGGUGGAUUACACACAAAAAAAAAAAACCUGGUGAUGUCUUCUCAUCCUCUCUGCAGGGGCUGAAGUUUUACUUUCUGUUCCGUCACUCAGUUUCUCUGAUCUGAGAAGAAAAAGUCCUCCUUUCUCUGCCUCCUCUCCCGGCCUAUUUGGUAUUCCCCAGACGGAGCGCUGAACCUCCACCAGCCUCCGUCCUGCCUCUGUUCCAGCCUCGUUCCCCCCGACGGAGCCAAGUGACCCGUUACCUCGUCCUCUGCUUAGCACUGCAGCGAGGACAGGACUUUACAGGGGUUGCGUUUAGGACUGAAACCUCCCAGAGCUCAAAGCAUGUCAGGACGUGGAGCUAAAAGAUCAGAGACGGACUCUUCAUCACGGAGGAUCUUCACAGUCAUUUAAAUGCACCUCGAGGAGGCUUCUGGAGGAGCUCAGAUGGAGGAAACUCAGCGCAUCUAUACCUCUUCUAUCGACAUCCAGACACGAGGCGUGAAGGCGGAGACGGUCGGCAUAAUGAAGAGCUCCCAGUGUGCAGAAUGAUCAAAAGGAAAAGCAGCGGUCUUUACAAAAAGUGAUUCCAGUGUGAAUAUCUGUGUUUGAAUGUGGGUCAGUUUGUGUCGGUUCGGACAGAAUUUUGAAAAAAACGCUCAGAUUCUGCUCAUAGUUUACCUCUUAGGAGCCCAAAACUAAAUUCUACAGAAGAAUUUUGAGACUUUCAUAUGUGAUUGCUCAUGUCACCAUACAGUAUGAACGGGAGCUUUCGUUGAGGCAAAAUGCACACAUAAUGACAAUAUAAAUACCCCUAGGCACACCAGUUUUUGUGGUUCUACAAUAGAGUUCACAUGACCCCUUUGGCAUGUCAAAAUACUAAAAAUCUUGUUACAUAUCAAACUCUACUGAUGUUAGAAGCCUCAAAAGUUGGUAAAAUGUCAACCAGACUGUAUUUUUAGUAGGAAAUACGGAUCCAUCCACAUAUAAACACUUUUUGGACCCCAAUCGUUUGACAAUGUUGUACUGAUUUCCAUUUUCAAGGGCAACUUAAUGAUUUGGAUCUACUGUAAACUAUUCGGUCUGUGCCCUCACCAAAUUUCAUAGUAGUGGGAGGUAUCAUUUUGGAGAUAUUGAAUGUCUAAAAUGGCUACCCAGAUGAGACAUCUUUCUUGGGGGUGAAAAUACAAAAAUCCCCAGGUCUGAAAGCAAAUGAAACUCUGCCACAACAUUAUACAAAACUUUGUUUUGGGUAUCGAAUAUUGAAAAAGUCAACUCUUAAUAAAACCUGAGAUGUUGGAGCAACACUUGAAUCUGAAAUGACACCAACUGACCCAUGUGGCAGUGAAGUUGAAACUUUUGAAACGCAAUGCAAAUUAAACUUGUUUCUAUUCAGUGCUUUGGAGCGAAUACACUAGGUUGUGUAGUAUCAACAAAAGGAGGCAGUUUAGGCUACACGGCUGGAAUAAACCUGCUUGAAGAAGAACAAUAAACAAAAACCCUUGACUAUACAGUCCUGUUUAAAAGUUUGGGGUCACUUAGAAAUAUCCUUGCUUUUGAAAGGAAAUCAGUUUAUUUCAAUGAAUAUAACAUUAAAUGAAUCAGAAAUACAGUCUAGACAUUGUUAAUGUGGUAAAUGACUAUUCUAGCUGGAAACAGCUGAUUUUUAAUGGAAUAUCUCCAUAGGGGUACAGAGGAACAUUUCCAGCAACCAUCACUCCUGUGUUCUAAUGCUACAUUGUGUUAGCUAAUGGUGUUGAAAGGCUAAUUGAUGAUUAGAAAAUCCUUGUGCAGUUAUGUUAGCACAUGGAUAAAAGUGUGAGUUUUCAUUCAAAAUAUGAAAUUGCCUGAGUGACCCCAAAGUUUUGAAUUGUCGUCUAUAUGUGAGGAAAAAUUGGUCAUUGGUAUCAGAAAUGUUUCAUGCCAUCCAGACACGAAGUAAAAGAGCAGAAACACAAUCAAACCUCUUCAGAAGAGGCGCUUGCACAUCUGACUAUGCACAUGAACUCAUUUUCGAAAGACUCAAAAACCACCACAAGCAAGGGAAAUUAAGGGUUUCUUUUUUAAAUUGAACAAUUCCAGUAACUUUUUUCUAAAUCUAAUAGCAAUAAGCCUAAAAAUACAUUAUGCAAAACCUCAUGUUUGACUAAUUUGCAUGUUGAGAUGGAGUCGCAGUGCAGAGAUGGUAAAAAUAUCACGAAUACCUCUUAAUAUGAGGUGCAAAAGCAAAAAUGUGAUCACGUUACCACCAGGUGUAAACGGAGCUUUGAAUCUCCCUGCAGAAGGGAUAAAGUACUGCAGGGAGAGCAGACAAUUGUUCAAGUGUACGAGGAAAGGUUGUCACACUUUUCCCCAAGUUAGCAAAAAAACACAGGCGGCUCCUGUGGCAGUUCUGUUGAAGAAACUAAAUAUCCCAGAGCAGGUGUACAGUUCUGUCCUCUGCAGAGAAAUGUGCCGAGGAGUUGUGGGAGUCGGGUAUUUAUAGGCCGAUAACUCGGCUCUGCUCAAUUAAUUACCAGCUUCUCCACAGAGGAUUGUCUCAGAAUGGUUUUCUUUUAUUGAAAAUGGGUUGUGCAAAAACAAAAGUUAUGACUGAUGAUGAGUUUCCUCGCUAGGGGUGCAUCCAUGAUACAAGAUUCUGCGACUAAUUAGGCGCCGAAGUUGGGAUCACAGUCAACGGUUUAAUAUCAAAGAACCCCGGCGAUUAGGCGAUGCGUACGAGGGCCGAACAGGAGGGGAAAUGUGCUGGACGGGGAGGUUUUUAGGGUGAAAAUCAUUAACGUAUUAAGCUUUAAUGCAAAAUAAGGUCAUUUUCAUUUGGGGGAAUACUGCGUUUUGAAUGUAACAGAUAAAGACUCAAACUAAAUAAGACCGUUUGGGUUCUCCAGAGGUCAAAAGUCUGGAUCUUGGAUCAUGCGUGCACCCGGCAGAGCAGAAAAUACAGUAAAAAGUCCAACUACGUGUGAUAACCGAAGGUACAGUAAAUGGCUGCUUCUCACAUACUUUUUGAAAUUUAAAUUGGCAACUUUGUCCAACAAAAAAAAAAAAACACAGGCGGUGAGGCUUCAUGAAAUGUUCUCCACUGAGAUGCGUUUGUAACAUAGCAGAUAUAGCUGUCUCAUUUUACAGAACAACAGACUGCACAGUGCAUAAUGUUCAACAACAACCAACAACAAGGGACCCGCUCAGGGGUUUUGGGGGGCAGCGGAGCCGAAACAGUCAAGAAAAACGAUCGAUAAGGUUUUGAAUUUGAAAAAUCCCAGCUGGACAAGUGUGUGUUCGGAUUUUGAAACCACAGAACAGCAGUUAAAAUUCAUAUUUGGUGAUAAUAUCUUAAAUAUUAUGACCAUGUGUUCUUAGAAAUGCACUGAGUCAUGAGUAAAUGAGAUGGGACGCGGCUUAGAAAUGUAAAGAUUCCCUUUUCAGAUCCUUUCUCAUAAAUAUUUCAUGAGUCGACAGUUACAACAGCCUUAAAAUACCCCUUUUAUUACAACACUGCUUUAUCUCUGUGUUUACGCCCUCGACAGUGAAACGCAGCAGCGUGUGGUUGUGAUGUGGCACAGUGAGCUUGUAAAAGCAGAGGAUGAGCUGCUGAAUCACGCACCGCUGCUCCGGUUUGUUCUUCUAUCGAGCUUUUACGGUUUCCUUGUUCUCUCUGCUUUACCAGACUUUCUAUACAUCUUCAUAGAUGUGCUGCAGAGAUUCCCCUGCUCAGACUCUCCCAAUGUCUCCUCGCAGCCAUUCCAGCGUUAAAAAAAUAAGACAAGAGAUAUAAUUCAGCAGUAAUUAAAGAGAAAUAACUGCUCAUUUGUGGAGAAGAACAAAAAACACACGGGGGCAGGAGAAACCUUGGAAUCGAUAAGGCAAAAGUGUUCCAAAAACAUAAGAGCCCGAUUUCACUUAGCAGCUCCUGUCAUGCAAAUGUGUAAUUAAAGUCAUUUAAUUAUGAGUCAAGAAAAACCCCUAAAAGUAAAAAAAUGCAACUUUUUCCAAUGUAGCUUUGCAUGCUCAGUAAAUUCUCUCAGAAAAUCCACCAUCAUGUUAAGUUUCGGUGAGAGAUUUGAUUUAAGACAAGUGGAACAAUCCCGUUGUGCUUAUUUUACCGUCACCUGCACAAGACAGAAAGGGUUUGGAGUUUGGGAUUUCAUUUAUCCUUUCUUUAAAUUUGAGUCUUUAACAUGAAACAAUCUGCCUCAUCACCUAAAAAACAAGUAUUGGAAAAUGCCAGAAAUCCAUUCUAACAAAAAAUUACAUUAAGUAUAGAGUCAAAAACAAAUCCUAAAGUUAAAAGAAUGCAAGUUUUUCCACUGCAUUUUUUGCAAAUUCUCUUGGAAAAUGCACCAUUAUGUUUGAAGUGUCUCAUUUAAGAACAGCGAAACAACCCUGUCCUGUCACUCAUGUGCCACAAUUUCACCUGUACUUCUGCAAGACACAAAGGCAUAAAAGUUUGGGAUUUCAUUCAGAACUACUUCCUAUCCUCUUUUGAAAUGUGUCCAAUUACAACACAGAACAUAGAAUAAUCUGCUUCAUCGCCAAAGAACAGUCUGUAGGACAUGAAGAUAGCUGGAAAUCCAUUCUAAUAAGUCAUUUAAUUAAGCAUAGAGUCGAAAACAAAUAUUAAAAAUUUAAAAUUGCAACUUUUUCCUUUGCAACACUGCAUGUUUAGCUAAUUCUCAUGGAAAAUGCACCAUUACCUGAAGGUUAGUGAGACAUUUCACUGAAGAUAGGUGAAACAACCCUGUCCUGCUAACAAUUAGCUACUUAUUUUAGCAAAAAGUCAACUAUCAUUUGGACUUUUGCAGUGUACAGGACAGAAAAACUGAGGAGAAUAAUUCCGUAUCCUUUCUUGUAAUUUGUCUCAGACUAUCAUUUCUGUCCAAUCUGCAGGAUGUGAAUAUUAUUAGAAAUAGACUGUAACACGUCCAGUGUAGAAAACAAAUCCCCAAAAUAAGUCAUUGUAACUUUUUCCUUUGCAGCACUGCAUGUUUGAAAGAUGUCAUAAAAGCUAAGUGAAACAACUGGAGUGUCACUUAUUUUAACAGAAAGUGUGCUUUAACCUGUACUUUUGCAGCAUGCAAGACCAGAGGCAUAGGAGUUUGGGAUUUCAUUCAGAAUGAUUUUGUAUCCUUUGUUGUUGUCCUUUGUUGAUAAAAUCUGUUUCAUACCCAAAAAAUUGUUUGCAGGACAUGGAAAAUGCUACAAAUCCAUUCUAAAAAAUCAUUUACUUAAGUAUAGAGUCAAAAACAAAUGCUGAAAAUCACAAAAUCGCAACUUUUUCCAAAGCAGUACUGCAUGUUUAGCAAAUUCUGAAGGAAAAUGACCCAUUUUCUUGCAAGAUCUUA
This is a long non-coding RNA of Amphiprion ocellaris (clown anemonefish), 6035 nucleotides long. RefSeq lists it as uncharacterized. The record is from RefSeq and is a predicted model, not a curated record. The transcript is spliced from 2 exons. Lineage: Eukaryota; Metazoa; Chordata; Actinopteri; Pomacentridae.